GGCAGCACGGAGCUUGCUCUGGUGGCGAGUGGCGAACGGGUGAGUAAUGCGUCGGAACGUAUCCAAUAAUGGGGGAUAACGCAGCGAAAGCUGUGCUAAUACCGCAUACGCCCUCCGGGGGAAAGCAGGGGAUCGUAAGACCUUGCGUUAAUGGAGCGGCCGACGUCUGAUUAGCUAGUUGGUAGGGUAAAGGCCUACCAAGGCGACGAUCAGUAGCUGGUCUGAGAGGAUGAUCAGCCACACUGGGACUGAGACACGGCCCAGACUCCUACGGGAGGCAGCAGUGGGGAAUUUUGGACAAUGGGCGCAAGCCUGAUCCAGCCAUUCCGCGUGAGUGAAGAAGGCCUUCGGGUUGUAAAGCUCUUUCAGGAGGGAAGAAACGAUUGUGGCUAAUACCCAUGAUUAAUGACGGUACCUUCAGAAGAAGCACCGGCUAACUACGUGCCAGCAGCCGCGGUAAUACGUAGGGUGCGAGCGUUAAUCGGAAUUACUGGGAGUAAAGCGUGCGCAGGCGGUUUUUCAAGUCUGAUGUGAAAUCCCCGGGCUUAACCUGGGAACUGCGUUGGAAACUGAAAGACUAGAGUGCGGCAGAGGGGGGUAGAAUUCCACGUGUAGCAGUGAAAUGCGUAGAUAUGUGGAGGAAUACCGAUGGCGAAGGCAGCCCCCUGGGUCGACACUGACGCUCAUGCACGAAAGCGUGGGUAGCAAACAGGAUUAGAUACCCUGGUAGUCCACGCCCUAAACGAUGUCAACUAGUUGUUGGGGANGGAGACCUCCUUAGUAACGCAGCUAACGCGUGAAGUUGACCGCCUGGGGAGUACNGUCGCAAGAUUAAAACUCAAAGGNAUUGACNGGGGCCCGCACAAGCGGUGGNNUAUGU
RNAcentral lists this ribosomal RNA (880 nucleotides) under uncultured bacterium. RNAcentral's name for it is "bacterial SSU rRNA". It matches the Rfam family "Bacterial small subunit ribosomal RNA", at positions 68 to 942 of the family's 1533-position model. The record is from RNAcentral.